UGCCAGCCGCCGCGGUAAGACGGAGGGUGCUAGCGUUAUUCGGAAUGACUGGGCGUAAAGGGCGUGUAGGCGGUUAUAUAAGUUAGACGUGAAAGCCCCGGGCUUAACCUGGGAACAGCGUUUAAUACUGUAUGACUAGAGACCGAGAGAGGAAAGCGGAAUUCCUAGUGUAGAGGUGAAAUUCGUAGAUAUUAGGAGGAACACCAGAGGCGAAGGCGGCUUUCUGGCUUGGAUCUGACGCUGAGGCGCGAAAGCGUGGGUAGCGAACGGGAUUAGAUA
This 279-nucleotide ribosomal RNA is filed under the name uncultured bacterium. Its description in RNAcentral is "partial 16S ribosomal RNA". It matches the Rfam family "Bacterial small subunit ribosomal RNA", at positions 506 to 784 of the family's 1533-position model. The record is from RNAcentral.